GACGAACGCUGGCGGCGUGCCUAAUACAUGCAAGUCGAACGCUUCUUUUUCCACCGAGUGCUUGCACUCACGGAGAAAGAGGAGUGGCGGACGGGUGAGUAACACGUGGGUAACCUGCCCAUUAGAAGGGGAUAACACUUGGAAACAGGUGCUAAUACCGUAUAUCUCUUGUUGCCGCAUGGCAACGGGAUGAAAGACGCUUUCGGGUGUCACUAAUGGAUGGACCUGCGCUGCGUUAGUUAGUUGGUGGGGUAACGGCCUACCAAGACCAUGAUGCAUAGCCGACCUGAGAGGGUGAUCGGCCACACUGGGACUGAGACACGGCCCAGACUCCUACGGGAGGCAGCAGUAGGGAAUCUUCGGCAAUGGACGAAAGUCUGACCGAGCAACGCCGCGUGAGUGAAGAAGGUUUUCGGAUCGUAAAACUCUGUUGUUAGAGAAGACAAGUGGGAGAGUAACUGUUCCCGCCAUGACGGUAUCUAACCAGAAAGUCACGGCUAACUACGUGCC
RNAcentral lists this ribosomal RNA (510 nucleotides) under uncultured Vagococcus sp. Its description in RNAcentral is "bacterial SSU rRNA". It matches the Rfam family "Bacterial small subunit ribosomal RNA", at positions 28 to 509 of the family's 1533-position model. The record is from RNAcentral. Lineage: Bacteria; Bacillati; Bacillota; Bacilli; Lactobacillales; Enterococcaceae.